This is a long non-coding RNA of Strigops habroptila (Kakapo), 675 nucleotides long. NCBI's taxonomy places the organism in Eukaryota, Metazoa, Chordata, Aves, Psittaciformes, Psittacidae. The record is from Ensembl.
UUUUUUUCUCCAAAAAAAUGUCUUUUAAUUCUCAAAAUAGCACAAAAACGACAGUUACGGGGGGGGGAGGGGCCCCCAAUACACUAUAAUACACUGGGGGGGGGGCUGGGCUGCCCCAUAGCGCCCCAUGGCUGCCCCAUAGCGGCCCCCGGGGGGUCUGUACAGGGGGGCCGGGGGGGGGGAGGGGCAGCGAGUACAAAACUUCAUCCAGCAACCGCAACAGGUAAAAAAAGCCCCCCCCGCCCCUCCCCCCCUCCUGCCCCAUAGCGGAGCCUGAGCCCCACAGCGGCCUCCGGCCCCUCCCCCCCCCCGCUAUGGGGCGGGGGCCCGCGGGGUCCUUCACUGCCCGUCGGCCUUCGGCUUCUUUGGAGCGGAUUUCCUGGGGGGUCAGGGGAAGACAGUGGGCGCUUGCUGGCGGGUUUGGCCCCGGCUCCGUCCUUGCUGGACUCUCCACCGCACCUGCGUGGCGGGCCCGUAGCCCUUGUCGUUGCGGGCGGCGAUGCGGAAGAUGAUGGCGGGUUUGGUGCUGUGGUCGAUGUGCGCCGUGGCCAAGCUGCCGGCGGGGACCAGGCAGGAGGGGCUGGGCCCGCAAUAGACCCGCAUGAAGGCGAGAGGGGCCGGGCCCCCCCCCGCGGCGCCGGAGCCGGAGCCGGAGCCCCCCCGCGGCUCGGCCGC